Molecule: ribosomal RNA, 794 nt
Filed under: Curvularia eragrostidis
Lineage: Eukaryota; Fungi; Ascomycota; Dothideomycetes; Pleosporales; Pleosporaceae
Description: LSU rRNA
Rfam family: Eukaryotic large subunit ribosomal RNA
Source: RNAcentral
AACCAACAGGGAUUGCCCUAGUAACGGCGAGUVAAGCGGCAACAGCUCAAAUUUGAAAUCUGGCUCUUUCAGAGUCCGAGUUGUAAUUUGCAGAGGGCGCUUUGGCUUUGGCAGCGGUCCAAGUUCCUUGGAACAGGACGUCACAGAGGGUGAGAAUCCCGUACGUGGUCGCUAGCUAUUGCCGUGUAAAGCCCCUUCGACGAGUCGAGUUGUUUGGGAAUGCAGCUCUAAAUGGGAGGUAAAUUUCUUCUAAAGCUAAAUAUUGGCCAGAGACCGAUAGCGCACAAGUAGAGUGAUCGAAAGAUGAAAAGCACUUUGGAAAGAGAGUCAAACAGCACGUGAAAUUGUUGAAAGGGAAGCGCUUGCAGCCAGACUUGCUUGCAGUUGCUCAUCCGGGCUUUUGCCCGGUGCACUCUUCUGCAGGCAGGCCAGCAUCAGUUUGGGCGGUGGGAUAAAGGUCUCUGUCACGUACCUCUCUUCGGGGAGGACUUAUAGGGGAGGCGACAUACCACCAGCCUGGACUGAGGUCCGCGCAUCUGCUAGGAUGCUGGCGUAAUGGCUGUAAGCGGCCCGUCUUGAAACACGGACCAAGGAGUCUAACAUCUAUGCGAGUGUUUGGGUGUAAAGCCCGAGCGCGUAAUGAAAGUGAACGGAGGUGGGAACCCGCAAGGGSGCACCAUCGACCGAUCCUGAAGUUUACGGAAGGAUUUGAGUAAGAGCAUGGCUGUUGGGACCCGAAAGAUGGUGAACUAUGCUUGAAUAGGGUGAAGCCAGAGGAAACUCUGGUGGAGGCU